This is a long non-coding RNA of Cyclopterus lumpus (lumpfish), 513 nucleotides long. RefSeq lists it as uncharacterized. The record is from RefSeq and is a predicted model, not a curated record. The transcript has 3 exons. Lineage: Eukaryota; Metazoa; Chordata; Actinopteri; Perciformes; Cyclopteridae.
CUCGCAGACAUGCCCAGGCAGUGACUCAGUGUGUGGUGGGGCGCCUUACUUUGGAGGAGUUUGCUUGCCAAAGGAGGGCCAGGUGUGGGUGAGACAGACUUGUGAAAAAGUACAACUCCUUCAGGAGGGAGUCAGAUGUCAUGGAUCUCAGGAAGUGUGUUGUGACAACUUCAUAUUCAAAUCAGUGCGCUCCGGUUCUCACUGUCUCCGCAUAGACACAGCAAAACCCCCAGAGACACACACGGAGACAGGAAUGUGGUGGUUCUGCAGACACGAGCACAUGGCUGUGACCAAGACAGCAGGUGGAAAGACCAGAAUGGCCUGAAGUUUGGUAGUCGUGUUGGGGCAUGAAGCUGCUGAGUGUUUACCUCAAGUCAAAAUAAAUCAGCAGACUGUGUUUGAGAUUAAUCUAGUUCUAUUAAUACAACAUGUAAUCGAAAUUACACAAGGGUUCCACAAAACAUGAAUGGAGAGCUCUGAUGAAUGAAUACGUUGUUACAGCCACUGAGAACA